Molecule: small RNA, 430 nt
Filed under: Histoplasma capsulatum var. duboisii H88
Lineage: Eukaryota; Fungi; Ascomycota; Eurotiomycetes; Onygenales; Ajellomycetaceae
Description: Histoplasma capsulatum H88 hypothetical RNA
Source: RNAcentral
CCAACGACAGAGAUUGUGGUAGGUCAUUCUAAUUAACCAGUGCGACCCAGAGAAAUGUUAAGCACACGCCAAACAGAAAAGUGGGCAAUGCGAUUUCCUGAGGUAGCGUAGUGAUGGCACUGGCGGAAACCGGCGAGAAGCACCUUAUCGAUUCAGAUUUUGAGGGAUCUGGCUGGCAUUCAAAUCGUCUAGAAUACAUCAGGAAUGAUGAAGGUGGAAGGUUGGUUGGUUGUAAGCAUGCAGGAAUGAGAAGCGACAUUGAAGCCUCUGGUUGAAUUGAACAAUGCCAAUAUAUUAUGUAUACGAGCGCUUCAUGCGCUUCAUAAUUUUUCAAGUCUAUCCAUUGAUCGGGGACCUUGUAGCGAUCACUCAAUAAAAAAAGAACAUAGGAUUGGAGGAUAACACGAAAGUAAAAAAUGCUGUAAAAAAU